GGAGAGUUUGAUCAUGGCUCAGAACUAACGCUGGCGGCGUGUCUUAGUCAUGCAAGUCGAACGAGAAAGCGUUCUUCGGAACGUGAGUACAGUGGCGGACGGGUGAGUAACACGUGGGGAACCUGCCCUCAAGCUGGGAACAACCCGCCUAACGGCGGGCUAAUACCGAAUGUGGUUGUCGCACCGCAUGGUAUGACAACUAAAGGUGGCCUCUCCUUGGAAGCUGCCGCUUGUGGAUGGCCCCGCGCUCAAUUAGCUAGUUGGUAGGGUAACGGCCUACCAAGGCGACGAUUGAUAGCCGACCUGAGAGGGUGAUCGGCCACACUGGGAUUGAGAUAAGGCCCAGUCUCCUACGGGAGCCAGCAGUCUAGAAAUUUGGGCAAUGGGCGAAAGCCUGACCCAGCGACGCCGCGUGGGGGAUGAAGCUUCUCGGAGUGUAAACCCCUGUUAGGUGGGACGAAAGCCCGUAUACGAAUAGUAGGCGGGUUUGACGGUACCACCAGAGGAAGCUCCGGCUAACUCCGUGCCAGCAGCCGCGGUAAUACGGGGGGAGCAAGCGUUGUUCGGAGUUAUUGGGCGUAAAGGGCGUACAGGCGGUGGUGUCAGUCAGAUGUGAAAUCCCCCGGCUCAACCGGGGACCUGCAUUUGAUACUGCAUCACUUGAGUACAGGAGAGGAGAGCGGAAUUUUCGGUGUAGCGGUGGAAUGUGUAGAUAUCGAAAAGAACACCAGUGGCGAAGGCGGCUCUCUGGCCUGAUACUGACGCUGACGCGCGAAAGCUAGGGGAGCAAACAGGAUUAGAUACCCUGG
This 809-nucleotide ribosomal RNA is filed under the name uncultured bacterium. RNAcentral's name for it is "bacterial SSU rRNA". It matches the Rfam family "Bacterial small subunit ribosomal RNA", at positions 8 to 790 of the family's 1533-position model. The record is from RNAcentral. RNAcentral also lists the same sequence under 1 other name.